RNAcentral lists this transfer RNA (71 nucleotides) under Clostridiales bacterium. Its description in RNAcentral is "tRNA-Gly". It matches the Rfam family "tRNA". From Rfam's summary of the family: Transfer RNA (tRNA) molecules are approximately 80 nucleotides in length. Their secondary structure includes four short double-helical elements and three loops (D, anti-codon, and T loops). Lineage: Bacteria; Bacillati; Bacillota; Clostridia; Eubacteriales. The record is from RNAcentral.
GCGGGUGUAGUUCAAUGGUAGAACAUCAGCUUCCCAAGCUGGUAGUGAGGGUUCGAUUCCCUUCACCCGCU